Silurus meridionalis is the source of this 161-nucleotide long non-coding RNA. RefSeq lists it as uncharacterized. NCBI's taxonomy places the organism in Eukaryota, Metazoa, Chordata, Actinopteri, Siluriformes, Siluridae. The record is from RefSeq and is a predicted model, not a curated record. The transcript is spliced from 2 exons.
ACAGAAACAGGAAAAACAAGACUCGGAAUGUGGACUAGUAGAAUAUUAAUACAGAAAUUAAUUAACACGAACCAGGUUUAUGGUCAGCAGCAAAUUGAGGAACAGACACACAACAACUGUGAUGACAAGACAGCGAUGGACAAGCAGCACUAUUGGAUAAG